Molecule: ribosomal RNA, 448 nt
Filed under: uncultured bacterium
Lineage: Bacteria
Description: SSU rRNA
Rfam family: Bacterial small subunit ribosomal RNA
Source: RNAcentral
AGAGCGAACGCUGGCGGCAGGCCUAAUACAUGCAAGUCGAACGGAUCCUUCGGGAUUAGUGGCGGACGGGUGAGUAACACGUGGGAACGUGCCCUUUGGUUCGGAACAACUCAGGGAAACUUGAGCUAAUACCGGAUGUGCCCUUCGGGGGAAAGAUUUAUCGCCAUUGGAGCGGCCCGCGUCUGAUUAGCUAGUUGGUGGGGUAAAGGCCUACCAAGGCUACGAUCAGUAGCUGGUCUGAGAGGAUGAUCAGCCACACUGGGACUGAGACACGGCCCAGACUCCUACGGGAGGCAGCAGUAGGGAAUCUUGCGCAAUGGGCGAAAGGCCUGACGCAGCCAUGCCGCGUGAAUGAUGAAGGUCUUAGGAUUGUAAAAAUUCUUUCAGUGGGGACAUAAUGACGGUACCCACAGAAGAAGCCCCGGCUAAACUUCGUGCCAGCAGCCGC